Molecule: small nuclear RNA, 106 nt
Organism: Physeter macrocephalus (sperm whale)
Lineage: Eukaryota; Metazoa; Chordata; Mammalia; Artiodactyla; Physeteridae
Source: Ensembl
GUGCUUGUUUUGGCAGCAUAUAUACUAAAACUGAAGUGAUACAGUGAAGAUUAGCACGGUCCCUGUACGAGGAUGACAUACAAAUUGUGAAACAUUCCAUAAUUGU